GCAUAUCAAUAAGCGGAGGAAAAGAAAAUAACAAUGAUUCCCCUAGUAACUGCGAGUGAAGAGGGACAAGCUCAAAUUUUAAAUCUAUCGGGUUUUACCUGAUCGAGUUGUAAUUUGAAGAGGCGUUUUCUGCGUGUUUGGUCAGCCUAAGUCCUAUUGAAUGAGGCAUCAUGGAGGGUGAUAAUCCCGUCCGGUUGAUCAUUUGCGUUUUACGAUACGCUUUCUAAGAGUCAAGUUGUUUGGGAUUGCAGCUUAAAAUGGGAGGUAAAUUUCUCCUAAGGCUAAAUAACGGCGAGAGACCGAUAGCGAACAAGUACCGUGAGGGAAAGAUGAAAAGAACUUUGAAAAGAGAGUUAAACAGUACGUGAAAUUGUUGAAAGGGAAACGAUUGAAGCCAGUCGUACCUUCGGGUAAUCAGCCUUUCGAGUGCGAUUCUGUGGAGUGUGAGGAGCUUAACACCUUCAUGCUUUGCAUAUUUGUGCUCUUGGGUGUACUUGCCCGUGUGGUUGGUUAACAUCAAUUUUGGUUAUCAUAAAAUGAUUGGAGGAAUGUAGCUUCGAUCUCGUAUUGAAGUGUUAUAGCCUUCGGUAAAUGUGAUGAACGAGAUUGAGGAUUGCAACGGAUACCCUUCGGGGCUACCUGUCUGGUCUCUGAUCGUUGCUCUGGUGCCGAAAGCUUGCUUACGGUCAUCAAAGUCGACGGUCAAUAGGUUAGAACGGGUUAAAUUCGUUAAGGAUGUUGACGUAAUGGCUUUAAACGACCCGUCUUGAAACACGGACCAAGGAGUCUAACAUAUAUGCGAGUGUUAGGGUAAUUAAACCCUUACGCGUAAUGAAAGUAAUUUUGGUGGGAACACUUUUGUGCACCAUCGACCGAUCAGGAUAUUUUUUGAUAGAUUUGAGUAAGAGC
Molecule: ribosomal RNA, 909 nt
Filed under: Rhizophagus irregularis
Lineage: Eukaryota; Fungi; Glomeromycota; Glomeromycetes; Glomerales; Glomeraceae
Description: eukaryotic LSU rRNA
Rfam family: Eukaryotic large subunit ribosomal RNA
Source: RNAcentral